This 492-nucleotide ribosomal RNA is filed under the name uncultured bacterium. RNAcentral describes it as "partial 16S ribosomal RNA". It matches the Rfam family "Bacterial small subunit ribosomal RNA", at positions 29 to 507 of the family's 1533-position model. The record is from RNAcentral.
AGUGAACGCUGGCGGUAGGCCUAACACAUGCAAGUCGAACGGCAGCACAGUAAGAGCUUGCUCUUACGGGUGGCGAGUGGCGGACGAGUGCGGAAUACAUCGGAAUCUACUUUUUAGUGGGGGAUAACGUAGGGAAACUUACGCUACUACCGCAUACGAACUACGGGUGAAAGCAAGGGAUCUUCGGACCUUGCGCGACUGAAGGAGCCGAUGUCGGAUUAGCUAGUUGGCGGGGUAAAGGCCCACCAAGGCGACGAUCCGUAGCUGGUCUGAGAGGAUGAUCAGCCACACUGGAACUGAGGCACGGUCCAGACUCCUACGGGAGGCAGCAGUGGGGAAUUUUGGACAAUGGGCGCAAGCCUGAUCCAGCCAUGCCGCGUGGGUGAAGAAGGCCUUCGGGUUGUAAAGCCCUUUUGUUGGGAAAGAAAAGCAGCCUGUUAAUACCCCGCUGUUCUGACGGUACCCAAAGAAUAAGCACCGGCUAACUUCGUG